CGGAGGGUGCAAGCGUUAAUCGGAAUUACUGGGCGUAAAGGGUUCGUAGGUGGUUUAUUAAGUUAUUUGUAAAAUCCCUGGGCUUAACCUGGGCAGGUCAGAUAAUACUGGUAGACUCGAGUAUGGGAGAGGGUAGUGGAAUUUCCGGUGUAGCGGUGAAAUGCGUAGAGAUCGGAAGGAACACCAGUGGCGAAGGCGGCUACCUGGCCUAAUACUGACACUGAGGAGCGAAAGCGUGGGGAGCAAACAGGAUUAGAUACCCUGGUAGUCCACGCCGUAAACGAUGUCAACUAGCUGUUGGUCAUAUUGAUAUGAUUAAUGGCGCAGCAAACGCGAUAAGUUGACCGCCUGGGGAGUACGGUCGCAAGAUUA
RNAcentral lists this ribosomal RNA (372 nucleotides) under uncultured organism. Its description in RNAcentral is "bacterial SSU rRNA". It matches the Rfam family "Bacterial small subunit ribosomal RNA", at positions 526 to 896 of the family's 1533-position model. The record is from RNAcentral.